GAUGAACGCUGGCGGCGUGCCUAACACAUGCAAGUCGAGCGAACAGACGAUGAGCUUGCUCCUUUGACGUUAGCGGCGGACGGGUGAGUAACGCGUGGAUCAUCUACUUAUAAUACUGGGAUAAUUUCGGGAAACCGGCUCUAAUACCGGAGAAUAUAUUGAACCGCAGGGUUCAAUAGUGAAAGACGGCUUUUCUGUCAGUAAUAGAUGCAUCUGCGCUGGAUUGGCUAGUUGGUAAGGUAACAGCCUACCAAGGCUACGAUGCGUAGCCGAACUGAGAGGGUGAUCGGCCACACUGGAACUGAGACACGGUCCAGACUCCUGCGGGAGGCAGCAGUCGGGAAUCUUCGGCAAUGGGCGGAAGCCUGACGCAGCGGCGCCGCGUGAGUGAUGAAGGUCUUGCGUGCGUAAAGCCCUGUUAUGAGGGAAGAACAGCUGUCGAAUUAGACAUGGCCGUCUUGACGGUACCGAAUCAAAAAGCACCGGCUAACUACGUG
RNAcentral lists this ribosomal RNA (497 nucleotides) under uncultured bacterium. RNAcentral describes it as "partial 16S ribosomal RNA". It matches the Rfam family "Bacterial small subunit ribosomal RNA", at positions 28 to 507 of the family's 1533-position model. The record is from RNAcentral.